UACGGGGGGGGUAAGCGUUGUUCGGAAUUACUGGGCGUAAAGCGCGUGUAGGCGGUCCGGUAAGUCCGCUGUGAAAGUCGGGGGCUCAACCCUCGGAUGCCGGUGGAUACUGUCGGGCUUGAGUACGGAAGAGGCGAGUGGAAUUCCUGGUGUAGCGGUGAAAUGCGCAGAUAUCAGGAAGAACACCCGUGGCGAAGGCGGCUCUCUGGGACGGUACUGACGCUGAGACGCGAAAGCGUGGGGAGCGAACAGG
Molecule: ribosomal RNA, 253 nt
Filed under: uncultured bacterium
Lineage: Bacteria
Description: partial 16S ribosomal RNA
Rfam family: Bacterial small subunit ribosomal RNA
Source: RNAcentral